AUCCAUUCUCAAGAACCCUAAUCACUACUCAAGCAACAUUCUCAAGAACACAAACCCAGAAAUUACUAAAAUCAUACCAAAAUGUAGAUCUAAACAAGCUAAAGAACUUUACU
This 113-nucleotide small RNA is filed under the name Arabidopsis thaliana (thale cress). Its description in RNAcentral is "ATSL092280". The record is from RNAcentral. Lineage: Eukaryota; Viridiplantae; Streptophyta; Magnoliopsida; Brassicales; Brassicaceae.